UGGGGAAUAUUGCACAAUGGGGGAAACCCUGAUGCAGCGACGCCGCGUGGAGGAUGACGGCCUUCGGGUUGUAAACUCCUUUUGUCAGAGACAAUGGUGAUGGUACCUGACGAAUAAGCCACGGCUAACUCUGUGCCAGCAGCCGCGGUAAGACAGAGGUGGCGAGUGUUGUUCGGAAUUACUGGGCUUAAAGGGCGCGUAGGCGGUGGUGUAAGUCUGGGGUGGAAUGCUACAGCUCAACUGUAGAGCUGCCUUGGAAACUGCAUUACUUGAGUCGGUGAGGGGAAGGCGGAAUUCCUGGUGUAGCGGUGAAAUGCGUAGAUAUCAGGAGGAAGGUCUGUGGCGAAGGCGGCCUUCUGGCACUAGACUGACGCUGAGGCGCGAAAGCGUGGGGAGCAAACAG
This 403-nucleotide ribosomal RNA is filed under the name uncultured bacterium. RNAcentral's name for it is "bacterial SSU rRNA". It matches the Rfam family "Bacterial small subunit ribosomal RNA", at positions 355 to 775 of the family's 1533-position model. The record is from RNAcentral.